Molecule: transfer RNA, 88 nt
Filed under: Candidatus Dojkabacteria bacterium HGW-Dojkabacteria-1
Lineage: Bacteria
Also listed under: 1 other name
Description: tRNA-Ser
Rfam family: tRNA
About the family: Transfer RNA (tRNA) molecules are approximately 80 nucleotides in length. Their secondary structure includes four short double-helical elements and three loops (D, anti-codon, and T loops).
Source: RNAcentral
GGAGAGAUGCCUGAGUGGCCGAAAGGACACGCUUGGAAAGCGUGCGUACAGCAAUGUACCAUGGGUUCGAAUCCCAUUCUCUCCGCCA